This 465-nucleotide ribosomal RNA is filed under the name Vreelandella stevensii. Its description in RNAcentral is "partial 16S ribosomal RNA". It matches the Rfam family "Bacterial small subunit ribosomal RNA", at positions 338 to 795 of the family's 1533-position model. The record is from RNAcentral. Lineage: Bacteria; Pseudomonadati; Pseudomonadota; Gammaproteobacteria; Oceanospirillales; Halomonadaceae.
CCUAAGGGUGGCAGCAGUGGGGAAUAUUGGACAAUGGGCGAAAGCCUGAUCCAGCCAUGCCGCGUGUGUGAAGAAGGCCUUCGGGUUGUAAAGCACUUUCAGUGGGGAAGAAAGCCUUGGGGCUAAUACCCUCGAGGAAGGACAUCACCCACAGAAGAAGCACCGGCUAACUCCGUGCCAGCAGCCGCGGUAAUACGGAGGGUGCGAGCGUUAAUCGGAAUUACUGGGCGUAAAGCGCGCGUAGGCGGUCUGAUAAGCCGGUUGUGAAAGCCCCGGGCUCAACCUGGGAACGGCAUCCGGAACUGUCAGGCUAGAGUGCAGGAGAGGAAGGUAGAAUUCCCGGUGUAGCGGUGAAAUGCGUAGAGAUCGGGAGGAAUACCAGUGGCGAAGGCGGCCUUCUGGACUGACACUGACGCUGAGGUGCGAAAGCGUGGGUAGCAAACAGGAUUAGAUACCCGAGUAGUC